RNAcentral lists this transfer RNA (76 nucleotides) under Desulfobotulus pelophilus. RNAcentral's name for it is "tRNA-Ala". It matches the Rfam family "tRNA". Rfam says of the family: Transfer RNA (tRNA) molecules are approximately 80 nucleotides in length. Their secondary structure includes four short double-helical elements and three loops (D, anti-codon, and T loops). Further hydrogen bonds mediate the characteristic L-shaped molecular structure. tRNAs have two regions of fundamental functional importance: the anti-codon, which is responsible for specific mRNA codon recognition, and the 3' end, to which the tRNAs corresponding amino acid is attached (by aminoacyl-tRNA synthetases). tRNAs cope with the degeneracy of the genetic code in two manners: having more than one tRNA (with a specific anti-codon) for a particular amino acid; and 'wobble' base-pairing, i.e. permitting non-standard base-pairing at the 3rd anti-codon position. The record is from RNAcentral. Lineage: Bacteria; Pseudomonadati; Thermodesulfobacteriota; Desulfobacteria; Desulfobacterales; Desulfobacteraceae.
GGGGUUGUAGCUCAGCUGGGAGAGCGCAUGGCUGGCAGCCAUGAGGUCAGGGGUUCGAACCCCCUCUGCUCCACCA